UGGUGAGGUAACGGCUCACCAAGCCGACGAUCAGUAGCCGGUCUGAGAGGAUGAACGGCCACACUGGAACUGAGACACGGUCCAGACUCCUACGGGAGGCAGCAGUGGGGAAUCUUCCGCAAUGGACGAAAGUCUGACGGAGCAACGCCGCGUGAACGAAGAAGGUCUUCGGAUUGUAAAGUUCUGUGAUUCGGGACGAAAGGGUUUGUGGUGAAUAAUCAUAGACAUUGACGGUACCGAAAAAGCAAGCCACGGCUAACUACGUGCCAGCAGCCGCGGUAAUACGUAGGUGGCAAGCGUUGUCCGGAAUUAUUGGGCGUAAAGCGCGCGCAGGCGGUUUCUUAAGUCCAUCUUAAAAGCGUGGGGCUCAACCCCAUGAGGGGAUGGAAGCUGGGAAGCUGGAGUAUCGGAGAGGAAAGUGGAGUUCCUAGUGUAGCGGUGAAAUGCGUAGAGAUUAGGAAGAACACCGGUGGCGAAGGCGACUUUCUAGACGAAAACUGACGCUGAGGCGCGAAGCGUGGGGAGCAAACAGG
Molecule: ribosomal RNA, 533 nt
Filed under: uncultured Peptococcaceae bacterium
Lineage: Bacteria; Bacillati; Bacillota; Clostridia; Eubacteriales; Peptococcaceae
Description: bacterial SSU rRNA
Rfam family: Bacterial small subunit ribosomal RNA
Source: RNAcentral